RNAcentral lists this ribosomal RNA (118 nucleotides) under Nannospalax galili (Upper Galilee mountains blind mole rat). Lineage: Eukaryota; Metazoa; Chordata; Mammalia; Rodentia; Spalacidae. The record is from RNAcentral.
UCUAAGUCCAUACCACACUGAGUGCAUCAGACCUGGUCGUAUCCUGGAAGCUAAGCAGGGUCGGUCCUGGUUAGUACAUGGAUGGGUGACCUCUUGGAAAUACUGGGGGCUGUUGGAU